Oncorhynchus nerka (sockeye salmon) is the source of this 5293-nucleotide long non-coding RNA. RefSeq lists it as uncharacterized. The record is from RefSeq and is a predicted model, not a curated record. Lineage: Eukaryota; Metazoa; Chordata; Actinopteri; Salmoniformes; Salmonidae. The transcript has 2 exons.
CCAGAUAGGAUGGAAAGAGAGACUUUGUGGGGGCGGUGACCAGACCACGUGGAGGCCCAGAUAGGAUGGAAAGAGAGACUUUGUGGGGGGCGGUGACCAGACCACGUGGAGGCCCAGAUAGGAUGGAAAGGGAGACUUUGUGGGGGGCGGUGACCAGACCACGUGGAGGCCCAGAUAGGAUGGAAAGAGAGACUUUGUGGGGGGCGGUGACCAGACCACGUGGAGGCCCAGAUAGGAUGGAAAAAGAGACUUUGUGGGGGCGGUGACCAGACCACGUGGAGGCCCAGAUAGGAAGGAAAGAGAGACUUUGUGGGGGGCGGUGACCAGACCACGUGGAGGCCCAGAUAGGAUGGAAAGAGAGACUUUGUGGGGGCGGUGACCAGACCACGUGGAGGCCCAGAUAGGAUGGAAAGAGAGACUUUGUGGGGGGCGGUGACCAGACCACGUGGAGGCCCAGAUAGGAUGGAAAGAGAGACUUUGUGGGGGCGGUGACCAGACCACGUGGAGGCCCAGAUAGGAUGGAAAGAGAGACUUUGUGGGGGUGGUGACCAGACCACGUGGAGGCCCAGAUAGGAUGGAAAGAGAGACUUUGUGGGGGGCGGUGACUAGACCACGUGGAGGCCCAGAUAGGAUGGAAAGAGAGACUUUGUGGGGGGCGGUGACCAGACCACGUGGAGGCCCAGAUAGGAUGGAAAGAGAGACUUUGUGGGGGUGGUGACCAGACCACGUGGAGGCCCAGAUAGGAUGGAAAGAGAGACUUUGUGGGGGUGGUGACCAGACCACGUGGAGGCCCAGAUAGGAUGGAAAGAGAGACUUUGUGGGGGGCGGUGACCAGACCACGUGGAGGCCCAGAUAGGAUGGAAAGAGAGACUUUGUGGGGGCGGUGACCAGACCACGUGGAGGCCCAGAUAGGAUGGAAAGAGAGACUUUGUGGGGGGGGUGACCAGACCACGUGGAGGCCCAGAUAGGAUGGAAAGAGAGACUUUGUGGGGGCGGUGACCAGACCACGUGGAGGCCCAGAUAGGAUGGAAAAGACCACGUGGAGGCCCAGAUAGGAUGGAAAGAGAGACUUUGUGGGGGCGGUGACCAGACCACGUGGAGGCCCAGAUAGGAUGGAAAAGACCACGUGGAGGCCCAGAUAGGAUAGAAAGAUUCCCCUAGCCAGUAGAAAGAGAAAACACUUUUCCAGCAUUAGCUCGGUAAAGGGGGAUUGUUAGGGGGCUACUGCUGGAAAUGCUUCAAUCUGGGACCUCAUCUCGUGUUUUCCCCCAACCAUAGGCUGCGCGUGAGUUUCAAGUUUGGGGAAGAUCAUUUUCACCAUAAAAACACACCAUCAUCGCAUGUGCAGACUUAUUAUACAUUUUUGAAUGUAACCUUUAUGUAACCUUUAUUUAACAAGGCAAGUCAGUUAAGAACAAAUUCUUAUUUACAAUGACGGCCUACAUCGUCCAAACCCGGACGACGCUGGGCCAAUUGUGCGACGCAAUAUGGGACGCCCAAUCACAGCCGGUUGUGAUACAAUUUAUGUGAGCCUACUGUACUAUUCCUAAUCUGAUGAGUUGAUUGGAUAGUCCUAAUUUAAGCUAAUAAUGUACCUCAAUCCUGACCCCUCCUGUCUCAGCCUCCAGUAUUUAUGCUGCAGUAGUUUAUGUGUCGGGGGGCUAGGGUCAGUUUGUUAUAUCUGGAGUACUUCUCCUGUCCUAUUUGGUGUCCUGUGUGAAUCUAAGUGUGCGUUCUCUAAUUCUCUCCUUCUCUCUUUCUUUCUCUCUCUCGGAGGACCUGAGCCCUAGGACCAUGCCCCAGGACUACCUGACAGGAUGACUACUUGCUGUCCCCAGUCCACCUGGCCGUGCUGCUGCUCCAGUUUCAACUGACCUGAGCCCUAGGACCAUGCCCCAGGACUACCUGACAUGAUGACUCCUUGCUGUCCCCAGUCCACCUGACCGUGCUGCUGCUCCAGUUUCAACUGUUCUGCCUUAUUAUUAUUCGACCAUGCUGGUCAUUUAUGAACAUUUGAACAUCUUGGCCAUGUUCUGUUAUACUCUCCACCCGGCACAGCCAGAAGAGGACUGGCCACCCCACAUAGCCUGGUUCCUCUCUAGGUUUCUUCCUAGGUUUUGGCCUUUCUAGGGAGUUUUUCCUAGCCACCGUGUUUCUACACCUGCAUUGCUUGCUGUUUGGGGUUUUAGGCUGGGUUUCUGUACAGCACUUUGAGAUAUCAGCUGAUGUACGAAGGGCUAUAUAAAUAAAUUUGAUUUGAUUUGAAUCACUGUUCGCAAAAAAAGACUGUUCAAUGCAUGGCUGAGCGCGUAUAGCGUAGAGUAGACCUUGGCUAUAGGCUAAAGGCCAGGGAUCAUCAACUACAUUCAGCCACAGUCCGAUUCUUUCUUGAAUGGAUGGUCAGGGGGCUGCAACAUAAUUAUAAAUAAUUUGUUUCUUCUCCUUUCUUUGCAAGGGAAGAAUUUGGACUUUUAUAAACACAUUUCAUGCAAUUCUACUACACUUUAUAAACUUAGCAAAAAAAGAAUAGUUCUCUCACUGUCAACUGCGUUUAUUUUCAGCAAACUUAACAUGUGUAAAUAUUUGUAUGAACAUAACAAGAUGAUGUCUGAUGUCAAGUGAGGGCCUGCCUUACAACAGGCCUAGAAGCCUUCAGUCCAGCCUCUCUCAGCCUAUUGCGGACAGUCUGAGCACUGAUGGAGGGAUUGUGCAUUCCUGGUGUAACUCGAGCAGUUGUUGUUGCCAUCCUGUACCUGUCCCGCAGGUGUGAUGUUCGGGUGUACCGAUCCUGUGCAGGUGUUGUUACACGUGGUCUGCCACUGCGAGGACGAUCAGCUGUCCGUCCUGUCUCCCUGUAGCGCUGUCUUAGGUGUCUCACAGUACGGACAUUGCAAUGUAUUUCCCUGGCCACAUCUGCAGUCCUCAUGCCUCCUUGCUGCAUGCCUAAGGCACGUUCACGCAGAUGAGCAGGGACCCUGGGCCUUAAUUGCCUACCGUCUGUACGCUGUUAGUGUCUUAACGACCAUUCCACAGGUGCAUGUUCAUUAAUUGUUUAUGGUUCAUUGAACAAGCAUGGGAAACAGUGUUUAAACCCUUUACAAUGAAGAUCUGUGAAGUUAUUUGGAUUUUUACGAAUGAUCUUUGAAAGACAGGGUCCUGAAAAAGGGACGUUUCUUUUUUUGCUGAGUUUAUGACUGGAGACAUUAGCAGAAGAUUUUUUAAUACGACAAAUUACAGGGUAGCCCACUCUGCUGAUACUGACAAACAGAUCAAUGAAAAUAACGUUGUCUGAUGCAUAUAUUAGGCCUACGAGAAGUGGAGACACAAUUACAAUAUGAUAUCCUUCUAACCUGGAGGAGGAAAUUAUUGUCCAAAAACAACCUUUCAAGUGGCACUGACCUAAAAAUGAUAAAGAGUGACUAUGCGCACUCACCGGGGAUAUUACCGAUGCUCUCUCCAUUGUUGCUCUCCAUAAGGCUAUAGACCUACAAUUAAGUUGAGAAUUUGGAUAACUAAAAGACAGAUGAGAGUCUUUUCAUUGUCUUCUCCUUACAGCAAUAGCCAUUUUCUUUCCAAACUAUGUUUUCCCUCGAUUGAAUUUUGAAAUAUUGCGAUAUGCCUGGCUUGGCCUCUCUACUUUUCACUGAAAGUCACAUCUGAACAAUCAUCUAUUUGGUAUUUGCAGUGAGCGCUGCUCAAAUGGCCAUCUUUAGGCAAUGUGAUGGAAAACAAUCCACAGAUGACUUUUUAAGAAGCUCAUGAUCCUUUGUGGCCAAAUCAUAUGCUUUCUGGUGUAGGUGCCUAUUUUGAAGGAUUUGUUUGUUAAUAGAUAGGAGUAGGCUAACGAGGCUAUAUCAUUUUGGCAAUUUAAUUAAAUUUACUUUAAGGGAAGCUUUAUGGACGCGCCAACUAUGCCCCCAACCACGAUGUAAGCAAAGCUCACAACCAGACUGGUCUCUUCCACCCCCGCCACCCCCAACUUCCCCUGACACCCACGCACACCUCCCCCUGACUGACUCCACCAUCCGCCAACACCCACUCCUUCCUCCCUCUUUGUCUGGGGCUGGAAACCAAGGAAAAGUUCAAUGACCUCUCUUAACUCUCUCUUAUUCGUUCUGCGUGUUUUUUGGGGUAUCAGCUGAGCUCAUUCUGGCCAUGUAAAGGAAUGAGAGGAAAGCAUUGAUGUAAGGGAGUGGCAAGGAGUGGAAUGACUGGUACUCAGGCUAAUAGGCUUGGGUAGCACAUAGAGAGAUGAAGAAAGUGAGCGCAAGAAGAGAAUCUGAGAUGAUCCUCACCCACUACAUCAUCCUCUCCUCAAGCUCUUCAGCACCAAAUCUCUUCUAACGUACAUAAGAGGCUUCCCUGAUCAACGGAACAAUGGAUACCCAAAACAGGGGCCAUCCAUUAUUGAACCAAAAGAGCAACACUACUCAAUCAACAGUACAGACUGAAUACCGACUGGGAUACCACAACUCUCAAAUCAGACACCAAGAUGCUGUCUCUGUCAAACGUUGAGCUUUUUCAGACACCUGAACAAUUGCUUCAAACUCUACGAAAUGUAGAACUUUUUGAUUCUUGUGUAUGUGAAAUAACUUUUGAGGAUCCCUUGAUCUUCAAUGCUUCAGAGAAGUUUCUCUUCCACUUGAAAUGCAAGGUGAAUCACAACUUUGCAUUUAAUUAGUCUUCACCUUAACUCUUCUCUUCUAUUGUCCUCAUUAGAGGCAAGAUCUUCUCUAUCAAUACUGUAUCAAGCGUUGAGAAAACAUGGCCAGCAUGGGCUCCACCUCCAUCUGGACCUUCAAACAAAAGUUGACAGAAAGCCAGAGUUGCCAAUUAGCACAGAAUGAUGUUAUUUUCUCCCCAGUUAUCGCUCUCCAAACAGAACAAUGAGGAUCCGCGGUUCAGGCCGACCCACGCUCCGGUUACAUGUUUCUGCUGCGAGGCCCAGUUUGUGUGAGCGUAAUCCUUGAGAAAGCAGCUUUUUACAAAACACAAAGAGCAAUGCUGGAGCCAGGGACCUCAUCACCAGAUAAAAGUGUGGAACAAACUAUUUCCCCCUAUGAGGCAAACUGUCUGGUGUUAUAUCAGGGAGAGGUUUUACCAUGCGAUGAGUGCUGUGAAAACAUGACUUCACCUGAGAGUCAAAUGGGACUAUCAUAUCUUGGAUGUAGGAUUGGUGUAUACUGUUGGUUUGAAUGACUGUUGCUUGUUGAAGAGAUAUUUCUGUUCAAAGGCUGCAUUCAAAAACACGCAUUGUAUUAAGAUCCAAUAAAAAAUACAUUUCACAAUAUAA